GAUGAACGCUAGCUACAGGCUUAACACAUGCAAGUCGCAGGGUAACAUGAGGAAAGCUUGCUUUCCUUGAUGACGACUGGCGCACGGGUGAGUAACGCGUAUCCAACCUUCCCAUAACUACGGGAUAACCCGUUGAAAGACGGCCUAAUACCGUAUGAUAUCGUUUGCUGACAUCAAAUAACGAUUAAAGGUUUAGCGGUUAUGGAUGGGGAUGCGUCUGAUUAGCUUGUUGGCGGGGUAACGGCCCACCAAGGCGACGAUCAGUAGGGGUUCUGAGAGGAAGGUCCUCCACAUUGGAACUGAGACACGGUCCAAACUCCUACGGGAGGCAGCAGUGAGGAAUAGUGGUCAAUGGGCGAGAGCCUGAACCAGCCAAGUAGCGUGCAGGACGACGGCCCUAUGGGUUGUAAACUGCUUUUAUGUGGGGAUAAAGUGCGUGACGUGUCAUGCAUUGCAGGUACCACAUGAAUAAGGACCGGCUAAUUCCGUG
Molecule: ribosomal RNA, 490 nt
Filed under: uncultured bacterium
Lineage: Bacteria
Description: partial 16S ribosomal RNA
Rfam family: Bacterial small subunit ribosomal RNA
Source: RNAcentral